This 451-nucleotide ribosomal RNA is filed under the name uncultured bacterium. Its description in RNAcentral is "partial 16S ribosomal RNA". It matches the Rfam family "Bacterial small subunit ribosomal RNA", at positions 29 to 523 of the family's 1533-position model. The record is from RNAcentral.
AACGAACGCUGGCGGCAUGCCUAACACAUGCAAGUCGAGCGCCUGUAGCAAUACAGGAGCGGCGCACGGGUGAGUAACGCGUGGGAACCUGCCCUUAGGUUCGGAACAACCGCGGGAAACUGCGGCUGAUACCGGAUGAUGUCUUCGGACCAAAGAUGUAUCGCCUUUGGAGGGGCCCGCGUCGGAUUAGGUAGUUGGUGAGGUAACGGCUCACCAAGCCUGCGAUCCGUAGCUGGUCUGAGAGGAUGAACAGCCACACUGGGACUGAGACACGGCCCAGACUCCUACGGGAUGCAGCAGUGGGGAGUAUUGGACAAUGGGGGCAACCCUGAUCCAGCAAUGCCGCGUGGGUGAUGAAGGCCUUCGGGUUGUAAAGCCCUUUCGGCGGGGACGAUGAUGACGGUACCCGCAGAAGAAGCCCCGGCUAACUUCGUGCCAGCCGCCGCAGUAA